AGAGCACAAGGGGAAUGCCUUGGCACCGAGAGCCGAAGAAGGACGUGACUAACUGCGAUAAGCUACGGGGAGCUGUAAGUGAGCGUUAUAUCCGUAGAUUUCCGAAUGGAGCAAUCCGAUUAGAGGAAAGUCUAAUCAUCAUAUACUGAAUACAUAGGUAUAUGAGGGGAACCGCCUGAACUGAAACAUCUAAGUAGGGCGAGGAAGAGAAAUCAACUGAGAUUCCGUAAGUAGUGGCGAGCGAACGCGGAAGAGGCCAAACCUAAUGUAGUAAUAUGUUAGGGGUUCGGACAGUAUAAUGAAUUGUCGAAAUUUAGCCGAAUGUCAUGGGAAGGGCAAUCAAAGAAGGUGAAAAUCCUGUAGGCGAAAAGUUAAGACAUCAGACUGUAUCCAGAGUACCGCCGGACACGUGAAACCCGGUGGGAAUACGGGGGGACCAUCCUCCAAGCCUAAAUACUACUCGGUGACCGAUAGAGAAGAAGUACUGUGAAGGAAAGGUGAAAAGCACCCCGGAAGGGGAGUGAAAGAGAACCUGAAACCUUGUGUUUACAAGCACCGAAAGUUCAUCAACGAACGAUCGGGUACCUUUUGUAGAAUGGUCCGGCGAGUGAAUGUAACUGGCAAGGUUAAGCACUUAAGGUGUGAAGCCGUAGCGAGAGCGAGUCUGAAAAGGGCGCAUGAAGUCAGUUGUAUUCGACCCGAAACCGGGUGACCUACCCAUGUCCAGGCUGAAGUGCAGGUAAAACUUCAUGGAGGGCCGAACCGACUCCCGUUGAAAUGGUAGCGGAUGAGGUGUGGGUAGCGGAGAAAUUCCAAUCGAACCCGGAGAUAGCUGGUUCUCUCCGAAAUAGCUUUAGGGCUAGCCUUGGAAUAGAUUACUGGAGGUAAAGCACUGAAUUGGCUAGGGGCCGAGAGGUUACUGAACCUUAUCAAACUAAGAAUGCCAGAUAAUCGUUUUCCAGGAGUCAGACAGUGGGAGAUAAGUUUCAUUGUCAAAAGGGAAACAGCCCAGACCUACAGCUAAGGUCCCAAAGUAUAGUUAAGUGGAAAAGGAUGUGGAAUUGCAUAGACAACCAGGAUGUUGGCUUAGAAGCAGCCACUCAUUAAAAGAGUGCGUAAUAGCUCACUGGUCGAGUGACUCUGCGCGGAAAAUAUAACGGGGCUAAGCAUGCAACCGAAGCUUAGGAUUGUCUUAAGACAGUGGUAGGGGAGCGUCGUGUACGGGGUGAAGUCGCAGCGGAAGCAGCGGUGGACUGUACAGGAGUGAGAAUGCCGGAAUGAGUAGCGAGAAUUAUGUGGGAAUCAUAAUGGCCGAAAAUCUAAGGUUUCUUGGGGAAGGUUCGUCCGCCCAAGGUAAGCCGGGAGCUAAGGCGAGGCCGCGAGGCGUAGUCGAUGCACAUACGGUAGAAAUUCCGUAGCCACCGAACUUUAAACCAGAAGGACACUUGCAGAUAGCGGAACCCAGCCGUUGGUUGAGCUGGGCGUAAGGGACUGAAAUAUAGUAGGGAAGUCCGCGAUGCUGUGAGGCGAGAAAAGCUCUGGUGUAUGCUAAGGUGCCCGUACCGCAAACCGACACAGGUAGAUGAGGAGAGAAUCCUAAGGCCAACGGGAGAAGGGUUGUUAAGGAACUCGGCAAAUUGACCCCGUAACUUCGGGAGAAGGGGUGCUCCAGAGAUGGAGCCGCAGAGAAUCGGCCCAAGCAACUGUUUACCAAAAACACAGGUUUGUGCUAAAUCGAAAGAUGACGUAUACGAGCUGACGCCUGCCCGGUGCUGGAAGGUUAAGAGGAGAUGUGCAAGCAUUGAAUCGAAGCCCCAGUGAACGGCGGCCGUAACUAUAACGGUCCUAAGGUAGCGAAAUUCCUUGUCAGGUAAGUUCUGACCCGCACGAAUGGUGUAACGAUCUGGGCACUGUCUCAACAACCCGCCCGGCGAAAUUGUAGUACCGGUGAAGAUGCCGGUUACCCGCGACUAGACGGAAAGACCCCAUGGAGCUUUACUACAACUUAAUAUUGAGUAAUUGCAAAUCAUGUAGAGGAUAGGUGGGAGGCUAUGAAGUAAUGGCGCUAGCUAUUAUGGAGCCGCCCUUGGAAUACCACCCUUGAUUUACAGUUAUUCUAACUUCCUCCCUGGAUGGGAGGGAAGACAGUGUUAGGCGGGUAGUUUGGCUGGGGCGGCCGCCUCCCAAAUAGUAACGGAGGCGCCCUAAGGUACCCUCAGUAUGGUCGGAAAUCAUACGUAGAGCGCAAAUGCAUAAGGGUGCUUGACUGCGAGACACACAGGUCGAGCAGGUACGAAAGUAGGGAUUAGUGACCAGGCGGUUUCAUUGUGGAAUGGCCGUCGCUUAACGGAUAAAAGCUACCCUGGGGAUAACAGGCUGAUCGCGUCCAAGAGUUCACUUCGACGACGCGGUUUGGCACCUCGAUGUCGGCUCAUCACAUCCUGGAGGGGCAGUACCUUCCAAGGGUUAGGCUGUUCGCCUAUUAAAGUGGUACGCGAGCUGGGUUCAAAACGUCGUGAGACAGUUUGGUCCCUAUCUGUCGUGGGCGUAGGAAGUUUGAAAGGAUCUGACCCUAGUACGCAAGGACCAGGUUGGACGUAACUACGGUACACCGGUUGUUUCGCCAGAAGCAUAGCCGGGUAGCCGCUUACGGAUCGAAUAAACGCUGAAAGCAUCUAAGCGUGAAAUCGUCCUUAAGAUGAGACUUCCGAUUCUAACGAAUUAAGAUCCCUUCUAUGUUAGGAGGUUGAUAGGUCACAGAUGUACGCAUAGUGAUAUGUUUAGUCGAGUGAUACUAAUAGAUCGAUCACUUAUUU
Molecule: ribosomal RNA, 2816 nt
Filed under: human gut metagenome
Description: bacterial LSU rRNA
Rfam family: Bacterial large subunit ribosomal RNA
Source: RNAcentral